UUAAGCAUAUUAUUAAGCGGAGGAAAAGAAACUAACCAGGAUUCCCCUAGUAAGGGCGACUGAAGCGGGACCUGCUCAGGAUGUGAAUCUGCGUGCUUUGUACGCCGAAUUGUGGUCUGUCGACAGUGGUGUUACCGGCCGGGCCAAGUCCCUUGGAAAAGGGCAGCUGAGAGGGUGAGACUCCCGUUCGCCCGGCUAGAUGAACCAUUAGUCAACGAGUCGAGUUGUUUGGGAUUGCAGCUCUAAUUGGGUGGUAAAUUCCAUCUAAAGCUGAAUAUUGGUGGGAGACCGAUAGCGUACAAGUACCGUGAGGGAAAGAUGCAAAGAACUUUGAAAAGAGAGUUAAAGAGUACCUGAAAUUGCUGAAAGGGAAGCGAAGGAAACCAGUGUUUGUCUUGUCAUACUUCCCUGGCCACUUGUGGCUUGGGCGCUGUGGCUUGUCUUGUGUUAGGUUUGGUUGUGACUUUCGGAAGAGCGUUCAAAGAGUUGAUUUGGACUGCUGGCGUUUGUCUUGACUGAGUUUGACGAAAUGGUUUUCUUUACCCCGUCUUGAAACACGG
Molecule: ribosomal RNA, 560 nt
Filed under: Nitzschia dissipata
Lineage: Eukaryota; Bacillariophyta; Bacillariophyceae; Bacillariales; Bacillariaceae
Description: partial large subunit ribosomal RNA
Rfam family: Eukaryotic large subunit ribosomal RNA
Source: RNAcentral